RNAcentral lists this ribosomal RNA (472 nucleotides) under uncultured bacterium. Its description in RNAcentral is "bacterial SSU rRNA". It matches the Rfam family "Bacterial small subunit ribosomal RNA", at positions 335 to 799 of the family's 1533-position model. The record is from RNAcentral.
ACUCCUACGGGAGGCAGCAGUGGGGAAUUUUGGACAAUGGGCGAAAGCCUGAUCCAGCAAUGCCGCGUGCAGGAUGAAGGCCCUCGGGUUGUAAACUGUCUUUUGUACGGAACGAAAGCCUGGGGCUAAUAUCCCGGGUCAUGACGGUACCGUAAGAAUAAGCACCGGCUAACUACGUGCCAGCAGCCGCGGUAAUACGUAGGGUGCAAGCGUUAAUCGGAAUUACUGGGCGUAAAGCGUGCGCAGGCGGUUUUGUAAGACAGUGGUGAAAUCCCCGGGCUCAACCUGGGAACUGCCAUUGUGACUGCAAGGCUAGAGUGCGGCAGAGGGGGAUGGAAUUCCGCGUGUAGCAGUGAAAUGCGUAGAUAUGCGGAGGAACACCGAUGGCGAAGGCAAUCCCCUGGGCCUGCACUGACGCUCAUGCACGAAAGCGUGGGAGCAAACAGGAUUAGAUACCCCUGGUAGGAUAGCG